This 445-nucleotide ribosomal RNA is filed under the name Paraplectanoides crassipes. RNAcentral's name for it is "partial large subunit ribosomal RNA". It matches the Rfam family "Bacterial large subunit ribosomal RNA", at positions 1811 to 2593 of the family's 2925-position model. Lineage: Eukaryota; Metazoa; Arthropoda; Arachnida; Araneae; Araneidae. The record is from RNAcentral.
AAACAUUUCUUAAUGUUAUAAUUUUAAGUAAUACCUGCUCCAUGAAUAUUUAAAUAGCCGCAGAAUAUUUACUGUGCUAAGGUAGCAUAAUCAUUAGCCUCUUAAUUAGAGACUCGCAUGAAAGGUAAAACAUUUUAAUUUCUUUCUUUAAUAAAUUUAUCAAAAUUAUAUUAAAUAUAAAAAUAUAUUUAUAAAUAAAUUAGACAACAAGACCCUAUUGAACUUUACUUAAGUUAAGCUGGGGAAGCUUGUUAAUACUCAUUUUAAUAUCUAAUACUAAAAUUAAUAAUCCAAAAAAUUUGAAAAUUGAUUAAGUUACCAUAGGGAUAACAGCGUAAUAUUUUUAUAAAGUUCUUAUUUAAAAAAAAGUUUGCGACCUCGAUGUUGAAUUAGUGUUACUUAUAGAUGCAAAAAUUUAUAAAGUAGGUCUGUUCGACCUUUAAAA